Molecule: non-coding RNA, 62 nt
Filed under: Chthonomonadales bacterium
Lineage: Bacteria; Bacillati; Armatimonadota; Chthonomonadia; Chthonomonadales
Source: RNAcentral
AGCCGAAACCCCUUCGGGGGUUCGCAGGGAAUGGCCGCCCUGCGCUGAUGAGACAGGCCAAA